GAUGAACGCUGGCGGCGUGCCUAAUACAUGCAAGUCGAGCGAACAGACGAGGAGCUUACUCCUCUGACGUUAGCGGCGGACGGGUGAGUAACACGUGGAUAACCUACCUAUAAGACUGGGAUAACUUCGGGAAACCGGAGCUAAUACCGGAUAACAUGUUGAACCGCAUGGUUCAACAGUGAAAGACGGUCUUGCUGUCACUUAUAGAUGGAUCCGCGUCGCAUUAGCUAGUUGGUAAGGUAACGGCUUACCAAGGCAACGAUGCGUAACCGACCUGAGAGGGUGAUCGGCCACACUGGAACUGAGACACGGUCCAGACUCCUACGGGAGGCAGCAGUAGGGAAUCUUCCGCAAUGGGCGAAAGCCUGACGGAGCAACGCCGCGUGAGUGAAGAAGGUCUUCGGAUCGUAAAACUCUGUUAUUAGGGAAGAACAAAUGUGUAAGUAACUAUGCACGUCUUGACGGUACCUAAUCAGAAAGCCACGGCUAACUACGUG
This 497-nucleotide ribosomal RNA is filed under the name uncultured bacterium. RNAcentral's name for it is "partial 16S ribosomal RNA". It matches the Rfam family "Bacterial small subunit ribosomal RNA", at positions 28 to 507 of the family's 1533-position model. The record is from RNAcentral.